RNAcentral lists this ribosomal RNA (433 nucleotides) under uncultured bacterium. RNAcentral's name for it is "partial 16S ribosomal RNA". It matches the Rfam family "Bacterial small subunit ribosomal RNA", at positions 29 to 507 of the family's 1533-position model. The record is from RNAcentral.
AACGAACGCUGGCGGCAUACCUAACACAUGCAAGUCGAACGAGACCUUCGGGUCUAGUAGCGCACGGGUGCGUAACGCGUGGGAACCUGCCCUUAGGUUCGGAAUAACUCCCCGAAAGGGGUGCUAAUACCGGAUAAUGUCUUCGGACCAAAGAUUUAUCGCCUUUGGAUGGGCCCGCGUUGGAUUAGCUAGUUGGUAGGGUAAAAGCCUACCAAGGCGACGAUCCAUAGCUGGUCUGAGAGGAUGAUCAGCCACACUGGGACUGAGACACGGCCCAGACUCCUACGGGAGGCAGCAGUGGGGAAUAUUGGACAAUGGGCGAAAGCCUGAUCCAGCAAUGCCGCGUGAGUGAUGAAGGCCUUAGGGUUGUAAAGCUCUUUUACCCGGGAUGAUAAUGACAGUACCGGGAGAAUAAGCUCCGGCUAACUCCGUG